UGGGCAACCUGCUCCUCUCUCUGGGAUAACCCCGGGAAACCGGCGCUAAUACCGGAUACUCCGGCUGGAUCGCAUGGUCCGGCCGGGAAAGGUCCGCCGGAGAGGGAUGGGCCCGCGGCCUAUCAGCUUGUUGGUGGGGUCAUGGCUCACCAAGGCGACGACGGGUAGCUGGUCUGAGAGGACGACCAGCCACACUGGAACUGAGACACGGCCCAGACUCCUACGGGAGGCA
This 232-nucleotide ribosomal RNA is filed under the name uncultured bacterium. RNAcentral describes it as "partial 16S ribosomal RNA". It matches the Rfam family "Bacterial small subunit ribosomal RNA", at positions 118 to 350 of the family's 1533-position model. The record is from RNAcentral.